UCGUACAGCCGAAUUAAGGUGAAACCGCAAAAGGCUCAUUAAAUCAGUUUUGGUUCACUAGAGCGUUACUCGUUUUUUGGAUAACUGUGGUAAUUCUAGAGCUAAUACAUGCAAACAAGUCCCGACCAGUGGUUUGGAAAGGACGCUUUUAUUAGAUCAAAAUCAAUCGGUGCGGCUAGACCAAACCGUUUUUUUUGGUGACUCUGAAUAACUCCACAGAUCGCACGGUCUCCGUACCGGCGACUUAUCUUUCAAAUGCCUGACUUAUCAACUGUCGAUGGUAGACUCUACGUCUACCAUGGUUGUAACGGGUAACGGGGAAUCAGGGUUCGAUUCCGGAGAGGGAGCCUGAGAAACGGCUACUACAUCCAAGGAAGGCAGCAGGCACGCAAAUUACCCACUCCCGGCACGGGGAGGUAGUGACAAAAAAUAACGAUACGGGACUCAUCCGAGGCCCCGUAAUCGGAAUGAGUACACUUUAAAUUCUUUAACAAGAACCCAAUGGAGGGCAAGUCUGGUGCCAGCAGCCGCGGUAAUUCCAGCUCCAUUAGCGUAUAUUAAAGUUGUUGCGGUUAAAAAGCUCGUAGUUGGUUCUGUGUCCCACGCUGUCGGUUCACCGCCUGCCGGUGCAACUGGCAUGCCGUGGGAUGUCCUGUCGGUGGCGGUUGUGACCCUCGGCGGGCGUAGGUUGACCGAAACCCGCCGCUGUGAGUCGCCUGCCGAUUCAAUCCUGCCGCGGUGCUCUUCACUGAGUGUCGAGGUAGGCCGACACGUUUACUUUGAACAAAUUAGAGUGCUUAAAGCAGGCUGAAUUCUGCCUGUAUAGUGGUGCAUGGAAUAAUGGAAUAAGACCUCGUUUCUAUUUUAUUGGUUUUCGGAAUACGAGGUAAUGAUCAAUAUGGACAGGCGGGGGCAUUCGUAUUGCGACGUUAGAGGUGAAAUUCUUGGAUCGUCGCAAGACGGACUAGAGCGAAAGCAUUUGCCAAGUAUGUCUUAGUUGAUCAAGAACGAAAGUUAGAGGUUCGAAGGCGAUCAGAUACCGCCCUAGUUCUAACCAUAAACGAUGCCAGCCAGCGAUCCGCCGAUGUUCCUCCGAUGACUCGGCGGGCAGCCCCCGGGAAACCAAAGCUUUUGGGUUCCGGGGGAAGUAUGGUUGCAAAGCUGAAACUUAAAGGAAUUGACGGAAGGGCACCACCAGGAGUGGAGCCUGCGGCUUAAUUUGACUCAACACGGGAAACCUCACCAGGCCCAGACAUUGGAAGGAUUGACAGAUUGAUAGCUCUUUCUUGAUUCAGUGGGUAGUGGUGCAUGGCCGUUCUUAGUUGGUGGAGCGAUUUGUCUGGUUAAUUCCGAUAACGAACGAGACUCUAGCCUAUUAAAUAGGCGUUCCCGGUAUCUCACCUACCGGCGAAAACAAUUCUUCUUAGAGGGACAGGCGGCUUUCAGCCGCACGAGAUUGAGCAAUAACAGGUCUGUGAUGCCCUUAGAUGUUCUGGGCCGCACGCGCGCUACACUGAAGGGAUCAGCGUGUGUCUCCUAGGCCGAAAGGUCCGGGUAACCCGCUGAACCCCCUUCGUGCUAGGAAUUGGGGCUUGCAAUUGUUCCCCAUGAACGAGGAAUUCCCAGUAAGCGUGAGUCAUAAGCUCGCGUUGAUUACGUCCCUGCCCUUUGUACACACCGCCCGUCGCUACUACCGAUUGAAUGAUUUAGUGAGGUCUUCGGACUGGUGAUGAGCGGCCACCAAGUUUCUUGGUGCCGAUGUUACCGGAAAGAUGACCAAACUUGAUCAUUUAGAGGAAGUAAAAGUCGUAACAAGGUUCCGAGGAAAACCCCGGGCGAAAAACUUUGUUACGACUUUUACUUCCUCUAAAUGGAUCAAGUUUGGGUCAUCUU
RNAcentral lists this ribosomal RNA (1893 nucleotides) under Aphelocheirus sp. RNAcentral's name for it is "SSU rRNA". It matches the Rfam family "Eukaryotic small subunit ribosomal RNA". The record is from RNAcentral. Lineage: Eukaryota; Metazoa; Arthropoda; Insecta; Hemiptera; Aphelocheiridae.